Non-coding RNA from Penaeus vannamei (Pacific white shrimp), 655 nucleotides. NCBI's taxonomy places the organism in Eukaryota, Metazoa, Arthropoda, Malacostraca, Decapoda, Penaeidae. The record is from RefSeq and is a predicted model, not a curated record.
AUGUAAACACAGCUGUCUUUGUCAAAUUGAAAGCAUUAAACUUAGCAAUUGGAUUAAAAUUACACUUAUAAUGGCAGAUCAACGGUUUCUGCUUGGCCAUCGUGUUAGAUUUGGAAGUAUUCAGCUUAUGGCAUUACAAACCAUUCCAGCAAGGGCAGGAGGGCCGUGAGAAAGCUGUUGGGACUCUCUCGGGGCAACACAGUGCGAGGAGAUGUAGACCAGCAGACCCUUCGUUACUCAGGGCAUUCAUCUUGUUCAUCCUGAAUAUGGAUUGUAGGACACACCUGCGUGACGUGAAACCCCCUGGAGCCAGCCACCUAUGGACCAGAGCAAGGGAUUCUUCAAGAUGAGUCAGAACAAGGCCUUCAUAUCAUAGAUCUUGCCAAGGUUUGAUGAGUAUGGUGACAGGCAAAUAGUGGCUGGUACUCACUUCCUUCCGUCUGCCAUUCUGGCUUUGAUGCCGAGGUACUUGGUCUGUGGCACCCAAGAGCUUCUGGCUGUGGUAAUGGAAAUGGCUCCGUUAUGAAGCAAGUGACUGACGGAUUUGUAGCGCAUCAAGUGCUGGCCACCUUCGUCUAGGUCGACUUCCUCGUCUCUGGAGAAAAAGAGAAUUACUAAGAAUACUAAAACAAUAAACAAAGAUGAUAUAGAAGUA